This 646-nucleotide long non-coding RNA is filed under the name Bos taurus (domestic cattle). RNAcentral describes it as "long non-coding RNA NONBTAT020296". The record is from RNAcentral. Lineage: Eukaryota; Metazoa; Chordata; Mammalia; Artiodactyla; Bovidae.
GUCCCACUAACUUUGCAAAACAGUUGCUGAGCUGCAAGUUUACGUUUCAGCCUCUGGAAACUCAGUGUCUAGGUUGGCAGCAGUAAUCUGGGAACAAGAAAAUCAAAUUCUGUCCUAUAUCUUAAUUUCUCCUUUCUCACUAGUUAAUACAUGUGAUUGCUGCCCAGCACACAGUACUUCAGCCCCAAACUACAGCAAUUUAAAAUGACCGUCACACAUUUCUGUUAUAUAAAAGUUCCAUGCUUUGAAGAACCUAUGGGAGUAGAAAAAGUUUCUCUAGAAAUGUCACUGAAUUGUGAUUUCAACCUAUUUGCUCUAUGUGAUAAAUAUAUCUGACUAUACUAGGGAUUAUGUACUUUAAAAAAAUAAUUUUGUUCACUGAAAAUUUACCUGUGUUUUCUCUCAUUUUUUAAAUGUGAUUUUGGCUAUAAACUCUUUAGUGCAUUUAUCUUUGCAGUCUAAAUUGCACGCUAAAAAAUAUUAACACAGCUGAGUUAGACCAGGGUGGCUGCUCUCUUCACAAAUCACUGAUUUAUGCUUUGGACAAAGAAGAGAAUCCUGAAAAAUGGUUCAUCAUUCUACCCUCUUAACUGGGCAGUCUCUCAACAGGAAAAUCUGUGCAUGUGAUGAAGCUGUGGCUAACUCA